CACGUAGGGUGCGAGCGUUGUCCGGAAUUAUUGGGCGUAAAGAGCUCGUAGGCGGUGUGUCGCGUCGGCCGUGAAAACUUGCAGCUCAACUGCGAGCCUGCGGUCGAUACGGGCAGGCUAGAGUUCGGUAGGGGAGACUGGAAUUCCUGGUGUAGCGGUGAAAUGCGCAGAUAUCAGGAGGAACACCGGUGGCGAAGGCGGGUCUCUGGGCCGAUACUGACGCUGAGGAGCGAAAGCGUGGGGAGCGAACAGG
RNAcentral lists this ribosomal RNA (253 nucleotides) under uncultured bacterium. RNAcentral describes it as "partial 16S ribosomal RNA". It matches the Rfam family "Bacterial small subunit ribosomal RNA", at positions 524 to 776 of the family's 1533-position model. The record is from RNAcentral.